This is a long non-coding RNA of Ochlerotatus camptorhynchus, 529 nucleotides long. RefSeq lists it as uncharacterized. The transcript is spliced from 3 exons. The record is from RefSeq and is a predicted model, not a curated record. NCBI's taxonomy places the organism in Eukaryota, Metazoa, Arthropoda, Insecta, Diptera, Culicidae.
AAAAUGGAAGUCGUAGUUGCAGUUUUGUUUUAGAGCGACGGUUUGUGUUGUUUCUAGGGAACACAGCAUAAAUAUUAGGUUAAAUGUGGUAUGAACUUCGACCGACCGGAGUCUCGGUAUAACGUGUUGUAGAUUCCAGUACUACGGUUCACAAUAAUCGGACAUGAAACCAGAAAGAAACCAGCAGCAACACAAUCUCCUGUAAAGCGGCUGAGAUGGACAUCGUACCUGGACGUUUAAUAGCCACGGCAACUAUCUACAUGGCCUCGAAGAGAUCGGCGAUAUCGCUGGUGCGGUCAACGUUACCAUUUGGCAGUCCUUUCGGCAGAUGCACUUGCUCGCGGCAGAGCUUCAAGUGCACUACACCAAUCGCAUAGUUACCACAGAUGCAUCCAUUGGAACGAAUCACCAACAAAGGCACAAUUGAUAUGCCACGCAUAGGUGUUCCGAGCUACUUCUUCGGCUACAUUUGUACUUGAUACUGGUUAAUCAGAUUCACCCAUAAGGAUAAACCUAGUUUAGGGUUUAA